GAUGAACGCUGGCGGCGUGCCUAAUACAUGCAAGUCGAGCGAACAGACGAGUAGCUUGCUCCUCUGACGUUAGCGGCGGACGUGUGAGUAACACGUGUAUAACCUACCUAUAAUACUUGGAUAACUUCGUGAAACCUUAUCUAAUACCGGAUAAUAUAUUGAACCGCAUGGUUCAAUAUUUCAAGACGGUUUUGCUUUCACUUAUAGAUGUAUCCUCUCCGCAUUAGCUAGUUGGUAAGGUAACGGCUUACCAAGGCAACGAUGCGUAGCCGACAUGAGAGGGGGAUCGGCAACACGGGAACUGAGACACGGACAAGAGGAAUACGGGAGGCAGAAGAAGGGAAUGGGCCGAAAUGGGCGAAAGCAUGACGGAGCAACGCCGAGUGAGGGAUGAAGGUCUAAGGAUCGUAAAAAGCUGUUAUGAGGGAAGAAAAAAUGUGUAAGAAAAUAUGCACGUAUUGACGGUAACUAAAAAGAAAGAAACGGCUAACUACGUG
Molecule: ribosomal RNA, 497 nt
Filed under: uncultured bacterium
Lineage: Bacteria
Description: partial 16S ribosomal RNA
Rfam family: Bacterial small subunit ribosomal RNA
Source: RNAcentral